This 254-nucleotide ribosomal RNA is filed under the name uncultured bacterium. Its description in RNAcentral is "partial 16S ribosomal RNA". It matches the Rfam family "Bacterial small subunit ribosomal RNA", at positions 524 to 776 of the family's 1533-position model. The record is from RNAcentral.
UACGGGGGGGGCAAGCGUUGUUCGGAAUUACUGGGCGUAAAGGGCGCGUAGGCGGUCAGCACAAGUCAGUUGUGAAAUCUCCGAGCUUAACUCGGAAAGGUCAACUGAUACUGUGCGACUAGAGUGCAGAAGGGGCAACUGGAAUUCUCGGUGUAGCGGUGAAAUGCGUAGAUAUCGAGAGGAACACCUGCGGCGAAGGCGGGUUGCUGGGCUGACACUGACGCUGAGGCGCGAAAGCUAGGGGAGCGAACGGG